Molecule: ribosomal RNA, 253 nt
Filed under: uncultured bacterium
Lineage: Bacteria
Description: partial 16S ribosomal RNA
Rfam family: Bacterial small subunit ribosomal RNA
Source: RNAcentral
CACGUAGGGCGCAAGCGUUGUCCGGAAUUAUUGGGCGUAAAGAGCGUGUAGGCGGCCUGACAGGUCUGCUGUGAAAACUCGAGGCUCAACCUCGAGAUGUCGGCGGAAACCGUCUGGCUAGAGUCCGGAAGAGGAGAGUGGAAUUCCUGGUGUAGCGGUGAAAUGCGCAGAUAUCAGGAAGAACACCUAUGGCGAAGGCAGCUCUCUGGGACGGUACUGACGCUGAGACGCGAAAGCGUGGGGAGCGAACAGG